ACCAGCUGGUGGAACACCUGAUGACAGCUACGUUUCCCCAGCACCGAAAAGAGAUUAUUGGAGAUCAGCCACUCGUCGCAGAGGUCCUUUCCAGAUGGCCAGCUCUGUUCCUUGAGAGACAGAUAAGGGCAGAAUUCAAGAGAGUCGUCACCACAGACCUUCUCGAGUGUUUUCUUGACGGACUUGAUGGCCUGGUCCCAAGACUGCUGGAGGUCUACAAAGCUGCAACCAUGUCUGGAAUGAAGCAGGCACUCAAAGACAUUUUGAACUGUCUUGAGAAAGAUGACACAAAUGAAAGGAGGACUGCUGCUUUGCUUGGCCUGCCACAUUACAUAUCCGAAGAUCAUGUGUG
This is a long non-coding RNA of Anarrhichthys ocellatus (wolf-eel), 352 nucleotides long. RefSeq lists it as uncharacterized. The record is from RefSeq and is a predicted model, not a curated record. The transcript has 3 exons. Lineage: Eukaryota; Metazoa; Chordata; Actinopteri; Perciformes; Anarhichadidae.